This 1372-nucleotide ribosomal RNA is filed under the name uncultured bacterium. RNAcentral describes it as "bacterial SSU rRNA". It matches the Rfam family "Bacterial small subunit ribosomal RNA", at positions 28 to 1381 of the family's 1533-position model. The record is from RNAcentral.
GAUGAACGCUGGCGGCGUGCCUAAUACAUGCAAGUCGAGCGAACGGACGAGAAGCUUGCUUCUCUGAUGUUAGCGGCGGACGGGUGAGUAACACGUGGAUAACCUACCUAUAAGACUGGGAUAACUUCGGGAAACCGGAGCUAAUACCGGAUAAUAUUUUGAACCGCAUGGUUCAAAAGUGAAAGACGGUCUUGCUGUCACUUAUAGAUGGAUCCGCGCUGCAUUAGCUAGUUGGUAAGGUAACGGCUUACCAAGGCAACGAUGCAUAGCCGACCUGAGAGGGUGAUCGGCCACACUGGAACUGAGACACGGUCCAGACUCCUACGGGAGGCAGCAGUAGGGAAUCUUCCGCAAUGGGCGAAAGCCUGACGGAGCAACGCCGCGUGAGUGAUGAAGGUCUUCGGAUCGUAAAACUCUGUUAUUAGGGAAGAACAUAUGUGUAAGUAACUGUGCACAUCUUGACGGUACCUAAUCAGAAAGCCACGGCUAACUACGUGCCAGCAGCCGCGGUAAUACGUAGGUGGCAAGCGUUAUCCGGAAUUAUUGGGCGUAAAGCGCGCGUAGGCGGUUUUUUAAGUCUGAUGUGAAAGCCCACGGCUCAACCGUGGAGGGUCAUUGGAAACUGGAAAACUUGAGUGCAGAAGAGGAAAGUGGAAUUCCAUGUGUGGCGGUGAAAUGCGCAGAGAUAUGGAGGAACACCAGUGGCGAAGGCGACUUUCUGGUCUGUAACUGACGCUGAUGUGCGAAAGCGUGGGGAUCAAACAGGAUUAGAUACCCUGGUAGUCCACGCCGUAAACGAUGAGUGCUAAGUGUUAGGGGGUUUCCGCCCCUUAGUGCUGCAGCUAACGCAUUAAGCACUCCGCCUGGGGAGUACGACCGCAAGGUUGAAACUCAAAGGAAUUGACGGGGACCCGCACAAGCGGUGGAGCAUGUGGUUUAAUUCGAAGCAACGCGAAGAACCUUACCAAAUCUUGACAUCCUUUGACAACUCUAGAGAUAGAGCUUUCCCCUUCGGGGGACAAAGUGACAGGUGGUGCAUGGUUGUCGUCAGCUCGUGUCGUGAGAUGUUGGGUUAAGUCCCGCAACGAGCGCAACCCUUAAGCUUAGUUGCCAUCAUUAAGUUGGGCACUCUAAGUUGACUGCCGGUGACAAACCGGAGGAAGGUGGGGAUGACGUCAAAUCAUCAUGCCCCUUAUGAUUUGGGCUACACACGUGCUACAAUGGACAAUACAAAGGGCAGCGAAACCGCGAGGUCAAGCAAAUCCCAUAAAGUUGUUCUCAGUUCGGAUUGUAGUCUGCAACUCGACUACAUGAAGCUGGAAUCGCUAGUAAUCGUAGAUCAGCAUGCUACGGUGAAUACGUUCCCGGGUCU